RNAcentral lists this ribosomal RNA (451 nucleotides) under uncultured bacterium. RNAcentral describes it as "bacterial SSU rRNA". It matches the Rfam family "Bacterial small subunit ribosomal RNA", at positions 29 to 523 of the family's 1533-position model. The record is from RNAcentral.
AACGAACGCUGGCGGCAUGCCUAACACAUGCAAGUCGAACGAACCCUUCGGGGUUAGUGGCGCACGGGUGCGUAACGCGUGGGAACCUGCCUUUUGGUUCGGAAUAACAGUGAGAAAUUACUGCUAAUACCGGAUAAUGUCUUCGGACCAAAAGAUUUAUCGCCAUUAGAUGGGCCCGCGUAAGAUUAGCUAGUUGGUGGGGUAAAGGCCUACCAAGGCGACGAUCUUUAGCUGGUCUGAGAGGAUGAUCAGCCACACUGGGACUGAGACACGGCCCAGACUCCUACGGGAGGCAGCAGUGGGGAAUAUUGGACAAUGGGCGAAAGCCUGAUCCAGCAAUGCCGCGUGAGUGAUGAAGGCCUUAGGGUUGUAAAGCUCUUUUACCCGAGAUGAUAAUGACAGUAUCGGGAGAAUAAGCUCCGGCUAAACUCCGUGCCAGCAGCCGCGGUAA